AACGACGGCUGGCGGCAUGCCUAAUACAUGCAAGUCGAACGAACACUUCGGUGUUAGUGGCGCACGGGUGCGUAACGCGUGGGAAUCUGCCCUUGGGUUCGGAAUAACAGUUAGAAAUGACUGCUAAUACCGGAUGAUGACGUAAGUCCAAAGAUUUAUCGCCCAGGGAUGAACCCGCGUAAGAUUAGCUAGUUGGUGAGGUAAAGGCUCACCAAGGCUACGAUCUUUAGCUGGUCUGAGAGGAUGAUCAGCCACACUGGGACUGAGACACGGCCCAGACUCCUACGGGAGGCAGCAGUAGGGAAUAUUGGACAAUGGGGGCAACCCUGAUCCAGCAAUGCCGCGUGAGUGAUGAAGGCCUUAGGGUUGUAAAGCUCUUUUACCCGGGAUGAUAAUGACAGUACCGGGAGAAUAAGCUCCGGCUAACUCCGUG
This 433-nucleotide ribosomal RNA is filed under the name uncultured bacterium. Its description in RNAcentral is "bacterial SSU rRNA". It matches the Rfam family "Bacterial small subunit ribosomal RNA", at positions 29 to 507 of the family's 1533-position model. The record is from RNAcentral.